Oryza sativa Indica Group (long-grained rice) is the source of this 208-nucleotide microRNA precursor. It matches the Rfam family "MIR812 microRNA precursor family". NCBI's taxonomy places the organism in Eukaryota, Viridiplantae, Streptophyta, Magnoliopsida, Poales, Poaceae. The record is from Rfam.
AAAAAGACAAAUCCUAGGUUUCCGUGUCCAACAUUUGACUAUUCGUCUUAUAUGAAAUUUUUUUAUAAUUAGUAUUUUUAUUGUUGUUAGAUGAUAAAACAUGAUUAAUACUUUAUGCGUGACUUGUCUUUUUAAUUUUUUUCAUAAUUUUUUUCAAAUAAGACGGACGGUCAAACGUUGAACACGGAAACCCAGGGUUUGUCUUUUU